GGGUUGUGAGGUUAAGUGAAUAAGCGUACACGAUGGAUGCCUAGGCAGUCAGAGGCGAUGAAGGGCGUGCUAAUCUGCGAAAAGCGUCGGCAAGCUGAUAUGAAGCGUUACAACCGACGAUACCCGAAUGGGGAAACCCAGUGCAAUUCGUUGCACUAUCAUGUCAUGAAUACAUAGUGGCAUGAGGCGAACCGGGGGAACUGAAACAUCUCAGUACCCCGAGGAAAAGAAAUCAACCGAGAUUCCCCCAGUAGCGGCGAGCGAACGGGGAAGAGCCCAGAGUCUGAAUCAGCUUGUGUGUCAGUGGAAGCGUCUGGAAAGUCGCACAGUAAAGGGUGAUAGUCCCGUACACGAAGACGCACAGGUUGUGAGCUCGAUGAGUAGGGCGGGACACGUGUUAUCCUGUCUGAAUAUGGGGGGACCAUCCUCCAAGGCUAAAUACUCCUGACUGACCGAUAGUGAACCAGUACCGUGAGGGAAAGGCGAAAAGAACCCCGGCGAGGGGAGUGAAAUAGAACCUAAAACCGUGUACGUACAAGCAGUGGGAGCAUCCUUAGGGGUGUGACUGCGUACCUUUUGUAUAAUGGGUCAGCGACUUAUAUUCUGUAGCAAGGUUAACCGCAUAGGGGAGCCGCAGGGAAACCGAGUCUUAACUGGGCGUUAAGUUGCAGGGUAUAGACCCGAAACCCGGUGAUCUAGCCAUGGGCAGGUUGAAGGUUGGGUAACACUAACUGGAGGACCGAACCGACUAAUGUUGAAAAAUUAGCGGAUGACUUGUGGCUGGGGGUGAAAGGCCAAUCAAACCGGGAGAUAGCUGGUUCUCCCCGAAAGCUAUUUAGGUAGCGCCUCGUGAAUUCAUCUUCGGGGGUAGAGCUCUGUUUCGGCUAGGGGGUCAUCCCGACUUACCAACCCGAUGCAAACUACGAAUACCGAAGAAUGUUAUCACGGGAGACACACGGCGGGUGCUAACGUUCGUCGUGAAGAGGGAAACAACCCAGACCGCCAGCUAAGGUCCCAAAGUCAUGGUUAAGUGGGAAACGAUGUGGGAAGGCAUAGACAGCCAGGAUGUUGACUUAGAAGCAGCCAUCAUUUAAAGAAAGCGUAAUAGCUCACUGGUCGAGUCGGCCUGCGCGGAAGAUGUAACGGGGCUAAACCAUGCACCGAAGCUGCGGCAGCGACACUUAGGUGUUGUUGGGUAGGGGAGCGUUCUGUAAGCCGUUGAAGGUGAACUGUGAGGUUUGCUGGAGGUAUCAGAAGUGCGAAUGCUGACAUAAGUAACGAUAAAGCGGGUGAAAAGCCCGCUCGCCGGAAGACCAAGGGUUCCUGUCCAACGUUAAUCGGGGCAGGGUGAGUCGACCCCUAAGGCGAGGCCGAAAGGCGUAGUCGAUGGGAAACAGGUUAAUAUUCCUGUACUUGGUGUUACUGCGAAGGGGGGACGGAGAAGGCUAUGUCAUCCGGGCGACGGUUGUCCCGGUUUAAGCGUGUAGGUGGGUGACUUUGGUAAAUCCGGGUCGCUGUUAACACUGAGGCGUGAUGACGAGGUACUACGGUACUGAAGUGACAGAUGCCCAGCUUCCAGGAAAAGCCUCUAAGCAUCAGGUAACAUUGAAUCGUACCCCAAACCGACACAGGUGGUCAGGUAGAGAAUACCAAGGCGCUUGAGAGAACUCGGGUGAAGGAACUAGGCAAAAUAGUGCCGUAACUUCGGGAGAAGGCACGCUGUGCGAGGUGUAGGGAUUUACUCCUGAAGCUUUGCGCAGUCGCAGAUACCAGCUGGCUGCAACUGUUUAAUAAAAACACAGCACUGUGCAAACACGAAAGUGGACGUAUACGGUGUGACGCCUGCCCGGUGCUGGAAGGUUAAUUGAUGGGGUUAUCCGUAAGGAGAAGCUCUUGAUCGAAGCCCCAGUAAACGGCGGCCGUAACUAUAACGGUCCUAAGGUAGCGAAAUUCCUUGUCGGGUAAGUUCCGACCUGCACGAAUGGCGUAAUGAUGGCCAGGCUGUCUCCACCCGAGACUCAGUGAAAUUGAACUCGCUGUGAAGAUGCAGUGUACCCGCGGCAAGACGGAAAGACCCCGUGAACCUUUACUAUAGCUUGACACUGAACCUUGAGCCUUGAUGUGUAGGAUAGGUGGGAGGCUUUGAAGUGUGGACGCCAGUCUGCAUGGAGCCAACCUUGAAAUACCACCCUUUAAUGUUUGAUGUUCUAACCUGGGCCCCUGAUCGGGGCUGGGGACAGUGUCUGGUGGGUAGUUUGACUGGGGCGGUCUCCUCCCAAAGAGUAACGGAGGAGCACGAAGGUUAGCUAAUCCUGGUCGGACAUCAGGAGGUUAGUGCAAAGGCAUAAGCUAGCUUGACUGCGAGAGUGACGGCUCGAGCAGGUACGAAAGUAGGUCUUAGUGAUCCGGUGGUUCUGAAUGGAAGGGCCAUCGCUCAACGGAUAAAAGGUACUCCGGGGAUAACAGGCUGAUACCGCCCAAGAGUUCAUAUCGACGGCGGUGUUUGGCACCUCGAUGUCGGCUCAUCACAUCCUGGGGCUGAAGUAGGUCCCAAGGGUAUGGCUGUUCGCCAUUUAAAGUGGUACGCGAGCUGGGUUUAGAACGUCGUGAGACAGUUCGGUCCCUAUCUGCCGUGGGCGUUGGAGAAUUGAGGGGGGUUGCUCCUAGUACGAGAGGACCAGAGUGAACGCACCACUGGUGUUCGGGUUGUCAUGCCAAUGGCAUUGCCCGGUAGCUACGUGCGGAAGAGAUAAGUGCUGAAAGCAUCUAAGCACGAAACUUGCCCCGAGAUGAGUUCUCCCUUGUCCCUUUGAGGACACUGAAAGGCCGUUGAAGACGACGACGUAGAUAGGCUGGGUGUGUAAGUGCAGCGAUGCAUUGAGCUAACCAGUACUAAUGACCUGUGAGGCUUAACCUUACAACGCCGAAGGUGUUU
Molecule: ribosomal RNA, 2935 nt
Filed under: Candidatus Symbiopectobacterium sp. 'North America'
Lineage: Bacteria; Pseudomonadati; Pseudomonadota; Gammaproteobacteria; Enterobacterales; Enterobacteriaceae
Description: 23S ribosomal RNA
Rfam family: Bacterial large subunit ribosomal RNA
Source: RNAcentral